GCUGGAAUGGUCUAGUUGGUUAUGACGACUGCCUCACACGCAGUAGGUCCCGAGUUCGACUCUCGCUUCCAGUA
Molecule: transfer RNA, 74 nt
Filed under: Perkinsus olseni
Lineage: Eukaryota; Perkinsozoa; Perkinsida; Perkinsidae
Rfam family: tRNA
About the family: Transfer RNA (tRNA) molecules are approximately 80 nucleotides in length.
Source: Rfam by way of RNAcentral